Molecule: ribosomal RNA, 666 nt
Filed under: Salmonella enterica subsp. enterica serovar Dublin
Lineage: Bacteria; Pseudomonadati; Pseudomonadota; Gammaproteobacteria; Enterobacterales; Enterobacteriaceae
Description: partial 23S ribosomal RNA
Rfam family: Bacterial large subunit ribosomal RNA
Source: RNAcentral
CUGAGGAUACGGUUAACGGAGCGAAAGCGACGUUCAACCGCAAAAGAAGCAGAGGGGGCUUAGUGGUGGGGUGACUGCGUACCUUUUGUAUAAUGGGUCAGCGACUUAUAUUCUGUAGCAAGGUUAACCGAAUAGGGGAGCCGGAGGGAAACCGAGUCUUAACCGGGCGUUAAGUUGCAGGGUAUAGACCCGAAACCCGGUGAUCUAGCCAUGGGCAGGUUGAAGGUUGGGUAACACUAACUGGAGGACCGAACCGACUAAUGUUGAAAAAUUAGCGGAUGACCUGUGGCUGGGGGUGAAAGGCCAAUCAAACCGGGAGAUAGCUGGUUCUCCCCGAAAGCUAUUUAGGUAGCGCCUCGUGAAUUCAUCUCCGGGGGUAGAGCACUGUUUCGGCUAGGGGGCCAUCCCGGCUUACCAACCCGAUGCAAACUGCGAAUACCGGAGAAUGUUAUCACGGGAGACACACGGCGGGUGCUAACGUCCGUCGUGAAGAGGGAAACAACCCAGACCGCCAGCUAAGGUCCCAAAGUCAUGGUUAAGUGGGAAACGAUGUGGGAAGGCCCAGACAGCCAGGAUGUUGGCUUAGAAGCAGCCAUCAUUUAAAGAAAGCGUAAUAGCUCACUGGUCGAGUCGGCCUGCGCGGAAGAUGUAACGGGGCUAAACCAU